GAAUUGCGAAAAGUAAUGUGAAUUGCAGAAUUCCGAGAAUCAUCGAAUCUUUGAACGCAACUUGCGCGCCCCGUGUAAGCGGGGGGCAUGGCUGUUUGAGGGUCACGCUAUGAUUCGCGUGCACGGUGCGUGAGCACCGGGCGGGCGGGAGUGGGCUGACCGAGAGGGAGCUUCUCUUCCGGCAGCUUGAAAUGCAUGGCAGGCAGUGCCGUGUGGGUGACACAUUGACCGGCGUAGUAGUUCUCUGAGGAGAUUUCACACCGCGCAGGGUCAGUGUGGCGCGCAUGCGGAGCAGCGUGCGGGAGCGAGUACAUUGGUGGAGGGGAGCAACACCCCCCACCCACAAUGUGACCUCAAAUCAGCCAAGAUUACCCGCUGGAUUUAA
This 385-nucleotide unclassified non-coding RNA is filed under the name uncultured fungus. RNAcentral describes it as "sequence contains ITS1". The stretch from base 1 to 105 matches the Rfam family "5.8S ribosomal RNA", at positions 50 to 154 of the family's 154-position model. The record is from RNAcentral. Lineage: Eukaryota; Fungi.